GCGAGCGUCGUCCAGUGGCCCAGGACCACUGCCUUCCAAGCAGUCGACGCCGGUUCGAAUCCGGCCGCUCGCU
This 73-nucleotide transfer RNA is filed under the name Occultella gossypii. RNAcentral's name for it is "Ruania sp. N2-46 tRNA-Gly". It matches the Rfam family "tRNA". Rfam says of the family: Transfer RNA (tRNA) molecules are approximately 80 nucleotides in length. Their secondary structure includes four short double-helical elements and three loops (D, anti-codon, and T loops). Further hydrogen bonds mediate the characteristic L-shaped molecular structure. tRNAs have two regions of fundamental functional importance: the anti-codon, which is responsible for specific mRNA codon recognition, and the 3' end, to which the tRNAs corresponding amino acid is attached (by aminoacyl-tRNA synthetases). tRNAs cope with the degeneracy of the genetic code in two manners: having more than one tRNA (with a specific anti-codon) for a particular amino acid; and 'wobble' base-pairing, i.e. permitting non-standard base-pairing at the 3rd anti-codon position. Lineage: Bacteria; Bacillati; Actinomycetota; Actinomycetes; Micrococcales; Ruaniaceae. The record is from RNAcentral.